Nanorana parkeri is the source of this 147-nucleotide long non-coding RNA. RefSeq lists it as uncharacterized. The transcript is spliced from 3 exons. NCBI's taxonomy places the organism in Eukaryota, Metazoa, Chordata, Amphibia, Anura, Dicroglossidae. The record is from RefSeq and is a predicted model, not a curated record.
UGAUCAGACAAGUAUAAAGACCAGUCAGAUCAUUCAAUCUACAAAAUAAGGCAGUGGUCACUUGUGCUGAAAGAAUAGACUUCAGCAUGUAAAUAACUAAAUAUCCCUCUUCAUACUGUAUCUUAUGAAAUAUCUCAACAAUGAUCA